RNAcentral lists this ribosomal RNA (1725 nucleotides) under uncultured eukaryote. Its description in RNAcentral is "SSU rRNA". It matches the Rfam family "Eukaryotic small subunit ribosomal RNA". The record is from RNAcentral.
GAAGCUGCGGACGGCUCAUUAUAUAGGUUAUAAUUCUGCUUGAUAGUUUCAUCUAAAUGGAUACACGCAGUAAUUCUGGGAACAAUACACGCAUCAAGCACCAUUCGUGGUGGCGUUUAUCGGACUAAACCAACUUUGUGGGUGAAUCACGAUAACUAAGCAAACCGCAGUGGCCUUUGCGUCGGCGGUGAAUCAAUUGAGUUUCCUCCCCAUCAGUUUACGUUGUUAAGGUAUUGGCUUAACAAGACUGUCACGGGUGACGGAGAGUUAGGGCUUGACUCCGGAGAGGGAGCCUGAGAAACGGCUACCACUUCCAAGGAAGGCAGCAGGCGCGAAAAUUGUCCAAUGCCAACUCGGCGAGACAGCGACAAGUAAUAUCGUGUGAAGCGGCUACGCCGUUUCUUUCACGAAAUGAGAGAAAUGUAAAAGACUCAACGAUGAUCAAAUAGAGGGCAAGUCUGGUGCCAGCAGCCGCGGUAAUUCCAGCUCUGUUAGCGUACACUAAUGUUGUUGCAGUUAAAAAGCUCGUAGUCGAAAUUGCAGCGCAUGUUGACUGCCGGCUUGGCUCGAAUGAGCCUUGUUUUCCGGCUGGUCGACGUUUGCUGUCCAGGUUGUACGCAAGUAUGACCUCUUUCACUGUAAACAAAUCAGAAUGUUCAAAGUAGGCCGUAGGCCUGAAUAUUUCUUAUGGGAUGAUAAGAUAAGGCUCCCGCGCGAUUUUGUUGGAUUGUUGUACGCGGGAUGUAAUGAUGAAUAGGAACAGCAGGAGGUGUUUGUAUUCUAGAGCUAGUGGUGGAAUACUUGGAUUUCUAGAAGACAAACAACAGCGAAGGCCACUCACCUAGGAUGUCUCCAUUGAUCAAGAGCUAAAGUCAAGGGAUCGAAGAUGAUUAGAUACCAUCGUAGUCUUGACCGUAAACGAUGCCGACUCGCGAUCGCGCCUUGGUUUUUUUUAUGCCUGGCGCGGCAGCGGAUGCGAAAGCGAAGUUUUUGGGUUCCGGGGGGAGUAUGUGCGCAAGCAUGAAACUUAAAGGAAUUGACGGAAGGGCACCACCAGGAGUGGAACCUGCGGCUUAAUUUGACUCAACACGGGGAAACUUACCAGGUCCGGACAUGGGAAGAAUUGACAGAUUGAGAGCUCUUUCUUGAUUCUAUGGGUGGUGGUGCAUGGCCGUUGUUGGUUGGUGGAGUGAUCUGUCUGGUUAAUUCCGUUAACGAACGAGACUUCUACUGUUAAAUAGGUGCGCUUGUGGCGACACAGGUCUUUUUGGCACCUUCUUAGCGGGACACGUCCGGUUUACGGGCGGGAGGCUAGAAGCAAUAACAGGUCCGUGAUGCCCUUUGAUGUUCUGGGCCGCACGCGCGUUACACUGAUUCGUUCAACGGGUGUGUUCUUCUUUUGCUUUUUGGCAGAGUUGGCGUUCCUUCACCGAAAGGUGUGGGCAAACCUUUGAAUGCGAAUCGUGAUGGGGCUAGAUCUUUGCAAUUAUUGAUCUCCAACGAGGAAUUCCUAGUAAGCGCGAGUCGUCAACUCGCACUGAUUACGUCCCUGCCCUUUGUACACACCGCCCGUCGCACCUACCGAUCGAACGACCAGUUGAAAUCCUGGGAUUCGUGCGUUAGCUGUUUGUUCAGCUUUUGCGCGGAGAACUCGAUUGAAUCUUGUUGUUUAGAGGAAGGUGAAGUCGUAACAAGGUUUCUGUAGGUGAACCUGCAGAAGGAUCA